Molecule: small nuclear RNA, 164 nt
Filed under: Medicago truncatula (barrel medic)
Lineage: Eukaryota; Viridiplantae; Streptophyta; Magnoliopsida; Fabales; Fabaceae
Description: U1 spliceosomal RNA
Rfam family: U1 spliceosomal RNA
About the family: U1 is a small nuclear RNA (snRNA) component of the spliceosome (involved in pre-mRNA splicing).
Source: Rfam by way of RNAcentral
AUACUUACCUGGAUGGGGUCAAUGGACGAUCAUGAAGGUCUAUGGCCUAGGUUGGUGACCUCCAUUGCACUUUGGAGGGGUGUCUGCCUAAGGUGUUCUCAAGUAGAACAGCAGCCUACAUUAUAAUUUGUUGCUGUGGGGGCCUGCGUUCGCGUGGCCCCCCU